ACACACACUCACACACACACUCACACACACACACACACACAAACACACACACACACAAACCCAGAUGAGCAGCGACUCCUCCACACAUUGAUCAGUCGCUCAUUUCAACAGGACACAUUCAUUUUUGUGUUUUUUUUUGUGAGUCUUACACUGUCCAUGUUUCUGUUUGGGAGGUCAGAUCAUCCCAGAGCUCACCUGUCAAUCAAACCGCGUGGGCGGGAUUAUCAUCUUCUUUAGAUUUCCUGUAGAUCCAGUUUGAGCUUUGUGCAGGCGGCGCUAUCAGAGAGAGCCAUCAUGAAUAAAUGAAUAUGUUGCGAAAUGUCACUUUAAUAGUUAAAACCCGUCAUGCCCAGUUACGACAACACACACCAACCAUUAUCACUCCAUGAGUGCCAAUGUUCUCAAUCCACCAGAAAGGAGAAUUAGUCUCCUGCUUGCAACUGUGUUAAGAAGUGAAGAAGAAGUGAAUGUCUGGAGAAAUGAAGUCAGUGAAACAAACAAAAUGAGGUCUCAGCUGCUUCUGACAGCUCCCAUUUUGUAAUCAAUUCAAAAAGGUCAGGUGCUCUGCGAGGAUCUAAGAAAUAACUUACUCUCACGGAGGAAAACUUCAUUUCAUGAGCAAUAAGCUGUAACCGUGUUCAGUUUAUUCACAUCAACAUGACUCAGCAAACUUAUGUUUACAUUCAGUCAUUUAGCUGACAAAACAAUCAAGGUAGUUGAUGUUAGUAGAUUUCUCAUGUCCAGUUGUUGGUAGUGUUGCAGAGGAGGUCCCCUCUGAAGAGCUGGAUCUUCAGGAGGUUUUUAAAGGUAGAGCGGGAUGCCCUUAAUCUGGUAGGAACUGGUAGGAAGUUCCACCAAUGGGGAACAGACGUUGUUCAUUGGAGGAACACAACGGUUGGGAGGUGGAGACUACUUUGUCGACAUUAGGGAUUCGAAUUUAGUGCGGGCUGCUACAGGUAGCUGCGAGGUAACAAGACCUUUUGGGUUGAUAACCACUGAGUUUAUUAUAGAGCGUUGGUGAUGCGACUGGCUCCCGGUUUGUUUGUUUUGUGGAUGUGCAUGGGCGCCAGGACCCUCUUCACAUCCUGCUGUUGGUUGUUUGUUGUUGUCGGUCCUCCAGUUGAUAGACGGUGUGGGCAACGUGCUACCAAAUGUCAACAGAGGCAGCGAACAAUUCAAGCAAACACAGAUGCAAACAACGCAGGGUUUCAAAUAUCUGUGAGUACUUUACAAGGCUGGGAAUCCAUUCAGCACAUUUCUCAGACCUCAAGGAUGUGUUUUAUGAGUAACACUGAGUGUAAACUGUAAACCCCACAGGGCACCUUUUAAAAAUGAGCUGUAUUUGAUUUGUAGGCUGUUACUGCUAGCUUAAUCUGUUCUGAACAGCAGAGGAGGAAAGGACCCACAAACGUGUCAUGAUUAGCCCAGGCUAUAUUAGCUGGAAUCAGAGCGGUAAACUGGCUAAUUGGAAGUCAUGUGGAUUUUGUUUAGAAGCACUGAUUGUCUAUUUGACAACAGAUACACAAUAGAAAAGCAGGGUUCCACUUUGCGUCAGGCCAAAACCAAGUGUAGGCUUCAGACCUGAGCCGGACUGGUCAGCGUAUGAUGCUGCCUGAAGAGAGGAAGCCAACAGUGUGCAGGUGAGGCAGGCGUGGAGGGAUGUUUUGAAAAGUAAACGAAUAAAAUGAAAUGAAGCAACGCCGUGACAUUUAUGGUCCUGUGGGGGCUUCCGUCUGGUUGCGCUGGCUCCUCUGUUGCUUAACCAAUCAUAGAGCAGGCGGGGCUGGAGCUGUGCCAAGUGAUAGCUCGAUGUUCAAAGAGUAACCCUGAGCUGCUUUUGUCCAUACGUCUGUCAAUAUUUAACUAGUUGAUUUUUUUUUUUAUUUUUUUUUCUCCUGGCGAGUGUGAAGUUCAGGGCUUUUGUGGGGGUGACUGGCUGGGCUGGGCCCGGGCUGGGCGGCUGCACAGGCUUAAGCUGGAUGAGACGUACAGGAAAUUCCCUCAGCCCACUUCCUCUUUUGCAUUGUUGCAGAAAAAGGAAGAACGCUCAACAGGUCCGCGUUGAGUUUCCUGUCGAGUAAACCGAUGGGUCAGUUCACAUCCGCAGACAUGUGGAAGUCCUGCUUUGUUUUCAGUAGAUUUCAAACGCGGUUCCUCACGCAGACAUGACUCUCACACAUCUGGAGGUCAGGAAAAUGUCCCUCUCUCUUUCUCUCUCUCUCUCUCUUCAGUGUUUAGUUUAUGGCUGCUGCUGCUCGGGAUCCGCUCUCUUCCCUCAGACAGACGGCAACAUGUCUUUGUCACAGCUCGCGCACUCUAGAACACCUCCGCUCGUCCUUUCUCCUCCCGCCUAUCUAAACACACGUGCUGCAAAACAAGCCGUCCAUUAACCCCCACACUCAGAGGGAGUUCUGUCCUAGGGGGGGAGAACAGGAGGAGGAGGAGGUGGUGGGAGGAGGGAGGUGGAGAGGGGGGGAGACAGAAAGAAAAAGAAUGAGGGAGGAAAUUGCAGUGUGGGCAGAAAUCCGCCUUCUCCAUUUCCUGGGGAGGAAGUGGAUUAGAUCGGGGAGAGUUGCAGCCUGCUCCUCACGCUGAAGAAUGCUACCAGGCUCGAACUUAACCCUUUCAGCCAGACAACACACUCCAAACCCCAACCGCAUGAAAUGGAAUAAAUCCUUCUCUAUCCACCAUUAACUUCCAGUCACUUUCUCUUCAGAUCUUUUUCUUCAUCUUUUGUGUGUGUGUGCGUGUUUUUUUGCCCUCUCUUUUAUGUUUUUCAUAUUGUUCUCCCCUUUGUGUUUCCCGUCUGUUGCUCUGUGAGGCACCGAAUCAGUGAAACACUUCUAAUAAUUCUUUUCAUUCAUUAGAAAAGACACUUCAAUGCGAACGCCUCCGAUUUUGUACAAUCAGAUGUCACCAAAUGAAGCAUAGGAACAUCAGGAGAUAAGAGAUUUAGUGGAUUUGAAGAAAUCCUUUUUUUUCCCCCAAUGCUUGAUUUAUAUAUAAAGUAAACACAUACAUGCUAUAAAUAUAUAUAGAUACAAUGAAAAUAACUAAAAAUAAAGGAAAGGCACAAAUGAUGGUGCAGUGUAAAUAAACUGUACACAUCUCUUACUAAACGGUUGAAAAAUGACAAGCAUGCAAAUAUCAAGUAUUAAAAAUGAAGAAUUCGAUGCACACCGUAUGGACUGUAUGAUGUGAAAGUGACAGCAUUACAUCUUAAGAGCAGUGUACCUCCAGUGAUGCUGAUUAAAGAUCUGAGGGUGUAAUAAGAAAUGUCAUGACCACUAGUUGAAUAAUGACUAAUAUUUCCAUGAAAUGAAAGACAAUAACAGCUCCCACUUUUCCAUUAGUUAACAUGGAGCAACUUAGGUGUGUCCUUGUUAGUCAGUUUAGUUAGUAAUCAAGUUAUGGAGGCUGGAGAGUGCUGUUGCCUGGUAACCUCAAGGUGACAACAAGACUUCAGCAAGAAUUAAUUGAGGUCAUAAAAAGCCAGGUGAAACCAUAACUCGCCCUUUAGCACUUCGGUUUUUGUUCAGAUAAAACAUUGAUUACAGAGCGAUGCUAGCUGUUUCCAGUCUUAUGCUAAUGCUAAUGCUAAGCUAAGUUAAGCUAUGCCGUCUCCUGCCUUACAUUUACCAUACGAGUCACAUCAAAAUGUUGAGCUAACUGUAUCCAGGCUGUAUACAGCUUCAUAGCUACCAUACAGACAUAAGAGUGGCAUCAAAUAGAUGGAGCCACACGUGAAUUACACAUUUGUAAAAAGGUCGGUAGACAAAUGUAAAUUUCAAAUGUAAGUUGCAAUUCGGUCGCAGUUAUUUUAAGGUCUAAAACACGACGAGUUCCUGUAAUAUUUGAUAGUAAACAUGCACCAAAGUCAGUGGCUGUGGAGGCCUUAAACAGCUCCUUCAGCUACAGACUGCUACUCCCAGCAUGUAGUUGAAUCAUGCAGGACUUUUUUUUUAUAUAUCUUAUCUUAUGCUCUGUUCUCACUGCAUCGUAUGCCCUGAUGGAGACUCUAAGUCAAAAGCAUGUUGGUAUAAAGCAUUACAUUUUAUCAGUGCCUCAGACUGUUUUGGUGACUGCCAACCAGCUCCAUUGACUUCCAUGAAUACUGUUGGACAGCCAUUGUUGUCAUUGACUACUGAAGAGCACCUGAUUCUCUGUUUCAACCAUCACAACACUGUAUUUUUGACCCAGUGCAGCACACCCUAUUUUUUUUCUUCAGCAGAAAUAUCUCACUGGAUGAUUAAAAAAAAAUCUAUGUCCAUGGAAACAAGACUGGCUGGUUUCCUUGGUGUGUGUGUGUGCGUGUGUGUGUGUGUGUGCUCACAGCUGGGUUUGCACUAUGCAUGCUUGUACGAGUGGGUGGAUGAGUGUGACUGAAUCUUGUGUCUUUGUGCAAAGCUUGCCAGAGGUAGUGUAGGUGUAUGCUUGUGUGUGUGUGUAUGUGUAUGAGUAGUUUGUGUGUGUGUUACCGUAUAUGACUGCAAACCCCCUCACUAGCUUCCUUUGGUCUCUCACUCUUUCUUUGUGGUGUAUUGCCCCUUUUACUGUGUGUGUGUGUUUGUGUGUGUGUGUGUGUGUGUGUGUGUGUGUGUGUGUGUGUGUGGAGGUGGAUUUUCCCCUCUGCCACACCCACCUGACAGGGAAUCAACGUACAGAGAGUCACACAAAGCGAGGGGGGAUGAAUAGUGUGUGAGGAUUUAACUAUGGAAAUGUGUUGCUCUCAUACCCACAUGUCCUUGAGUCAGGGUGUCAAAAGGUCAUGGCCGGCCCUCCUCCUCUUUUCUCCUUCGUCCUUCCUUCUUCUUCUUCCUCCUCCUCCUACUCCUCUGUCUGGAGAAAGAAAAAUCUUUUCUCUAUUGAGAUAGCAAGACCAAUAUCCGCCUACUUCAGCUUGGAGAGAAAAGGCAAACAUUUACUGAAGAACUGAGUGACUAAGGAGGUUUCAGUUUGGAGAGCAAAGUCCCUGCAGCCUUUCUGAUGCAGCAGUGCUUUUUUUUGUGUGUGUGUGUGUGUGUGUGUGUGUGUGUGUGUGUGUGUGUGUGUGUGUGUGUGUGUGUGUUUAUUUAGUUAUAGUUCAUUCAGUUCAGGCAGCGCUGAAAUCCUCUGUCUGAGAUUUUUAUGUGCAUCAGUCGUGUCUUUGUGUAUAUUUAGACUGUUCAAAGUCAGGAGUUUCUAACAGAAAACAAUAUCUGAGACUUUCAGAUUCCAGUAUGACUCAAAAUACAGCAUGUGUUAAGUUUUGUUCCAGUUCAACAAAUAAAGAGAGAGGAAAUGAUCAGGCAUGUAUGACGCAACAGAAAAGCCAAACACAUUUCAAUCAACAGCUGUUUCCAAAUGGUUAGAAAUGAGUUUAGCCUAUGUAACCUUUGCUUACUUUUACUUUACUUUACUCACUUGUUGCUGAAACUGAGAUCCUCACAUGUUGAGACUUUACUUUCAUUCGUCCUCUUCAUCAGCCAGCGCCUUUGGCUAAUUUUAAUGGCUACCAAACAGAGAACUAGUUAAACCAGCUUGUUUUGGAAGGCCCACAGACAAAGUAAUGCGCCUGGUAUGGAGGUAGAUUUGUGUCCAAAUGGAAGAGUACAAUGCAAACUGUCUUGUCUUUAGCUUUUAUACAAAUAUGCUAUAUAGAGACACUCAGUUUACCUGUUGUGGUUGCUUGCUAACAUUGUAAAACUAGCUUCUCCUAAGUAGUGCCCCAAUUUUCUACUACAAGCCAACACUAUAAAAUUAUUUAGUUAACCAUACCUAAGUUAAAUAUAGCUGCUAGCUAUGAGGUUAACUAGAAAAACACUGAUGUUGACGCUAACAUUGUAAUGCUAGCGUCUCCUGUCUCAGUGUUGUCCCAUAUACAACGAAAAUACAGAAAAUGGUCGGUAGCGGAGUUGAUGACAACAGAAAUCGUUAAUUGCUCCCCUACCAGCAACAUUUUGGCACAUCUGUAAUAUUCAGGAUAACAAAGUAGCAUUUUUUGUAGCAUACAAACCUUUUUUCCUAUGUGAAAAUACUACUUAAAGUGUUAGCAUUUAGCUUAUAGUUGGGACACAGUGAUGCAUUAGCUACUGUGCUAAUCGGAAGAUUUGGGUGAAUAGAUUUUAGAGUUAGCUUGCGAGCUAAGCCAAAAUUAGACAGAUCAGUUGCCAGUCAGAAACAGAAAGAAAACUGUAUCUUUUGUUUUAAUAGCCUCCAGAGGUUUGGGGUUACAGUGUUCUAUUGGGAGAGAGGUAAAUAAGUGUCAGUAUGGCGGCGGUGUGAGUCUUGGUAAGACAUUCAGAACCAGACCGAGUUUUUGGACGGGACCUUCACAGCAGGACGGACCUCAUUAACUCGUCUGGCUGCGAAGGGAAGUCGAGGGCUUCUGUACCGCAACAACGAAACAAGAUACCAGUGAUCUCAUCCUCCUCUUCCCUUCAUUCAUCCCAAGCGCUUAUGAGUUGCCCUGGCAACUUGCGCUCUGUGUGUGUGCGUAUGUGUGUUCAUGGGCUUGAGCAUGAGCGGGGGCCUGAGAAACCACACAGUGAAAAUUAUGUGUCAUCAGAGAGGAUUAGGAGCCCACGGUUUAGUCAAGGGUUUGGGAUCCUGCUGCUGUCGUGCUUGACAGUUUUAUUCAAUGUAAACACACACACACACACUGUCAUGGACACUGUAAACCUGAGAUGCAUUCAACAAAGGCAGAGACUGAUGACAAGGAAGACUGAAAUUGAUUUUCUUCCUUUAACCUGCAACAAAUCUGUAACAGACCCUCUGACAGAAAACAACAGAGAGGACAUGAGCUCAAAGAAGUGUGUGUGUGUGUGUGUGUGUUGAAGGAAAGAGUGUCGGGGUCAAAGGUGUGUUCUCUCUCUCUCUCUCUCUCUCUUCUCCUCUCACACCUUGCCCAUUUUUCUAUCCACCUCUAAGUGACCAAAGGAUGUUCGUGUCUCGCUGGCUGCUUAGCAACAGAAAGUUUCCCAUCAUGUUCAGAAUCAGUUCCUGUCUACAUCACAUGGAUAUGAGAUACAAAAAUAAGAUCCUGAAACUCACAACUUGAAUGUGACUCAGGUUUUGAAACUGAAAUCUGAAAUGCUCGCCCUUGACAAGGCAGCAGCUACACCCUCGUGAACCAUGUAAAGCUGUCAUAGUUUUCCUUCUAUUAGAUAUAGGUACAGGAUUAAAUAUUACUGGAAUUGAUUGGCUCUCAUAUUUAUUCUGUUAAAUAUUUGACCUCGAAGCAGUACCAUUCAUUUUUAGACCAUACUGCUGUAAAUACUUAAGCAUUUAGCUCAGUAUAGCAACAGUUUUCUAUAUGAAAUUGACCUUAUGAACCCGUGAGUCAUAUAACCAAAUACUAAGAAGCUGUAGACUCAAGACUUGAACUUAAGUCAGACUUGGGUCUUGAACCUGAAGACUUGGUCUGGACUCGUGAAUAAUGUAAGUGAAGUCAAGACUCCAGUAAUCAGCCUCGAGACACGAUUGUCCGGAUUGUCCGGACACUUGAAGACCUCAGACCCCGCAGACUUGACACUAGGUUGGAUUGAUGGACAUGAUGCUUACAUGAAGUUCUUAGAAAUUUGGGACAGGUUCUAAUGUAGAUAAUCAUCCAACUAAAGGUUGAUUGAAUUAUUGUGUGAAUAUAGCUUUCAUACUCAUCUGCCUUCAUACUUGGCUUGAAUCGUGAAUGACCUAAGAGAAUACAAGGAACUUUGUUUUUUUAGGCAAAGCUGUAAAAUCAAGACUCGUACUCAAGUAAUCAACCCUGAGAUGCAAUCAUCUGAACACUUGAAGAUCUCAGUACUAGAAGUACCAUGCUUGGCACAGCAGGGACUGGCGAGUGAUGAUAGUCCACAUGGAAGCUGGGGUAGAUUUGGACUUUUAAAUAAACCGUUCUAGGCGUGUUGGCCUCCAGGGACAGUUUUCAGGUGAGCAGUGUGACUGUAAGCACGCCAGAAUGUUGUGUGAGUGUAGCGGCUGAUUCCAGUUGACCAACUCGCAUGCGUCCCUUCAUAUAUUGGUUACAUCCCAGAAUAGUUCUGAACAGUCAAAGGAUCAGAUAUGUGCAGGAAUUCAGGCCUGAGCACGAUGUCCCACUCUGUGAGCUUAAUUUGAGUACUGCCUUAGUAUCUGUUUCCCUUCCUGUUUGCCUUUCCUUCCUCCUUCUGCAUCGUUGUUUAAUCCUUUUUGUUCCUGCUCUUUUACCUCAUGUGCCUUCAUUUCUUCCCCUCUCGUCACACUAUCCGCUGCUGCUCUCAUCACUCUUUCCUUUCUGUUUCCACUCUUCCUUUUCUCGCCCGAGUCCCGCUGCUGUCUGUUAAUAAACCUCCCGGCGUCACUCUCUAACCUUACUGCAGGAAGUUUCCUGCGCUGAAACGGAGCCCACGCUUGAUUGCUUCCUGCCAAAGUGCGUUGUGGGACACGUUUGUUUGGGCCCUCUUCUUCCUCCACCUCCUCCUCCUCCCUUCUGCUCCCCUUGUUGCUUCCUCCUUUGGGCUCUGUGCAGAUGGCUGAGGCCGGCAGACCGGAUCUCGGAGGGGUUUUGGCAGAGCAGCACCUCUCUCCGGCCCUGGAGAGAGCAUACCGCAGCCAUGACCUCGCGACCCAGGCUGCUCUGCUGCCUGCCCCGGCUCUGCUGCUCUCACAAGUCAGCCACGAGAGACAAACGUACAGCUGGCGCAUUUAGUGCAGAUGGCAGCUUGAUUCAAUAUUGAUAUAAAGUCAUUGCUGUAGUCUGUUAGGAGUAUUCCAGUUCCCACAUAUCUUUCUGUUUUAUAGUCCAAGUUAAAUUUAAACAAGGUAAGGUUUAAGAGUACUAAAGGGACAAAUGUGAGCUAAAAAAAACACCAAAUUCUCAAAGAGUUCUCAUACAACUGAUGCUUAAACUUACCACUACUGCUUUAAUCACUGAAGUUGGGACAAUGGGAUUAAAAACAAACACAUUUAUAUAGAGUAUAAUAGAGAUUAUGUAGCCCAGCUAUGAUUUCUACUGUGGCCAGGAAGCCAGUGAAAAAUAUGACGAAAUAUAUCUUAUCUGCCCACCACUAGCUCCUGUGGUUGUGAAACACCUGUAUCCCAUUCCCUGACACUUUCUUAGGAUGUCUGUUGACAAGCUGAGGGUCAGAGCUUGACAGGCUGUAAGCUGUGCUUCAGAUAACCUAGGCCUUCCCGGGCUUAUCGGCAGCGCUCUUGCCUCUAUCUGAAUACAGAGGACUAGGGAAGGGAAGAAAUGGGAAUCUGACAAGCUAGACAGGGUUUCAUUUUAUAUUGAUUGCUCUCUGUGAAAACUUCCUCUGUUUGACGGGCGAGGGGGAGCUGAAGGGGGAGAGGCCUGAAAGCGAGCACAAGGUUCCUAUUACUUGUGUGACAGUGACAUUGGCGGCCAAAGAUAACAGCUGUCCGACUCCCAGAGGAAGUGUUUGAGGCAGGCCGAUAAGUGAGAUGUAAGAAAUGAGUAGUUAUUCUCCAUGUGGGUGUCACGGACGUUCUGAUCGCCGCUAUGCACUUUUGCAAGUUUGUGUGUGUGUGUGUGUGUGUGUGUGUGUGUG
Long non-coding RNA from Larimichthys crocea (large yellow croaker), 9527 nucleotides. RefSeq lists it as uncharacterized. NCBI's taxonomy places the organism in Eukaryota, Metazoa, Chordata, Actinopteri, Sciaenidae. The transcript is spliced from 2 exons. The record is from RefSeq and is a predicted model, not a curated record.